UUCAUUUUGGCAGAAUUUUAAUGCAAAAGACUUAGAAUCUUUAUAAGCUUCA
RNAcentral lists this transfer RNA (52 nucleotides) under Dysdera shardana. Its description in RNAcentral is "tRNA-Leu". Lineage: Eukaryota; Metazoa; Arthropoda; Arachnida; Araneae; Dysderidae. The record is from RNAcentral.